AUUGAACGCUGGCGGCAGGCCUAACACAUGCAAGUCGAACGGUGACAGGAAGCAGCUUGCUGCUUUGCUGACGAGUGGCGGACGGGUGAGUAAUGUCUGGGAAACUGCCCGAUGGAGGGGGAUAACUACUGGAAACGGUAGCUAAUACCGCAUAACGUCGCAAGACCAAAGAGGGGGACCUUAGGGCCUCUUGCCACCGGAUGUGCCCAGAUGGGAUUAGCUAGUAGGUGGGGUAACGGCUCACCUAGGCGACGAUCCCUAGCUGGUCUGAGAGGAUGACCAGCCACACUGGAACUGAGACACGGUCCAGACUCCUACGGGAGGCAGCAGUGGGGAAUAUUGCACAAUGGGCGCAAGCCUGAUGCAGCCAUGCCGCGUGUAUGAAGAAGGCCUUCGGGUUGUAAAGUACUUUCAGCGGGGAGGAAGGGAGUAAAGUUAAUACCUUUGCUCAUUGACGUUACCCGCAGAAGAAGCACCGGCUAACUCCGUG
Molecule: ribosomal RNA, 490 nt
Filed under: uncultured bacterium
Lineage: Bacteria
Description: partial 16S ribosomal RNA
Rfam family: Bacterial small subunit ribosomal RNA
Source: RNAcentral